GAUGAACGCUGGCGGCGUGCCUAAUACAUGCAAGUCGAGCGAACAGACGAGGAGCUUGCUCCUUUGACGUUAGCGGCGGACGGGUGAGUAACACGUAGGUAACCUACCUAUAAGACUGGGAUAACUUCGGGAAACCGGAGCUAAUACCGGAUAAUAUUUCGAACCGCAUGGUUCGAUAGUGAAAGAUGGCUUUGCUAUCACUUAUAGAUGGACCUGCGCCGUAUUAGCUAGUUGGUAAGGAAACGGCUUACCAAGGCAACGAUACGUAGCCGACCUGAGAGGGUGAUCGGCCACACUGGAACUGAGACACGGUCCAGACUCCUACGGGAGGCAGCAGUAGGGAAUCUUCCGCAAUGGGCGAAAGCCUGACGGAGCAACGCCGCGUGAGUGAUGAAGGUCUUCGGAUCGUAAAACUCUGUUAUUAGGGAAGAACAAACGUGUAAGUAACUGUGCACGUCUUGACGGUACCUAAUCAGAAAGCCACGGCUAACUACGUG
This 497-nucleotide ribosomal RNA is filed under the name uncultured bacterium. Its description in RNAcentral is "partial 16S ribosomal RNA". It matches the Rfam family "Bacterial small subunit ribosomal RNA", at positions 28 to 507 of the family's 1533-position model. The record is from RNAcentral.